AAUCUACUUCCUCCGUUCCAUAAUUCUUGUCUCAAUUUUCCCAAAAAUAGAUGUAUCUAUUCCUAAAAGGCGUCUAGAUACAUGUAACAUUUCGACAAGAAUUAUGGAACGGAGGGAGUACAUC
This is a non-coding RNA of Brachypodium distachyon (stiff brome), 124 nucleotides long. NCBI's taxonomy places the organism in Eukaryota, Viridiplantae, Streptophyta, Magnoliopsida, Poales, Poaceae. The record is from Rfam.